CGAAAGCCUGACGGAGCAAUACCGCGUGAGGGACGAAGGCCUGUGGGUUGUAAACCUCUUUUGUUGGGGAAGAUAAUGACGGUACCCAACGAAUAAGCAUCGGCUAACUCCGUGCCAGCAGCCGCGGUAAUACGGAGGAUGCAAGCGUUAUUCGGAAUUAUUGGGCGUAAAGCGUCCGCAGGUGGUAUUUCAAGUCUGCUGUCAAAGACCGAAGCUUAACUUCGGAAAGGCAGUGGAAACUGAAAAACUAGAGUACGGUAGGGGUAGAGGGAAUUUCCAGUGUAGCGGUGAAAUGCGUAGAGAUUGGAAAGAACACCAGUGGCGAAGGCGCUCUACUGGGCCGUAACUGACACUCAGGGACGAAAGCUAGGGGAGCG
RNAcentral lists this ribosomal RNA (377 nucleotides) under uncultured cyanobacterium. RNAcentral's name for it is "bacterial SSU rRNA". It matches the Rfam family "Bacterial small subunit ribosomal RNA", at positions 376 to 770 of the family's 1533-position model. Lineage: Bacteria; Bacillati; Cyanobacteriota. The record is from RNAcentral.